UAUUCUAGAGCUAAUACAUGCACCAAAGCUCCGAUCCUCGCGGAGAGGAGCGCAUUUGUUCGCCACAAAACCAAGCGGCUUCCAAGCCGUUCAGUGUUGACUCAGAAUAACUAAGCUGAUCGCACGGUCUUGCACCGGCGACGUGUCUUUCAAGUGUCUGCCUUAUCAACUUUCGAUGGUAGUAUACAGGACUACCAUGGUUGUGACGGGUAACGGAGGAUAAGGGUUCGACUCCGGAGAAGGGGCCUGAGAAAUGGCCACUACGUCUAAGGAUGGCAGCAGGCGCGCAAAUUACCCACUCUCAACAUGAGGAGGUAGUGACGAGAAAAUAACGAGAACCGGUUCUCAUUCACCAAGGCCGGUCAUCGGAAUGGGUACAACUUUAAACCCUUUAACGAGUAUCUAGUGAGAGGGCAAGUCUGGUGCCAGCAGCCGCGGUAAUUCCAGCUCUCAAAAUGCAUAGAAUUAUUGCUGCGGUUAAAAAGCUCGUAGCUUGGAUCUGUGCUGGCCGCCCGGUCUGUCCACUGGGCAUGCACUGGUGCGGCCGGCUUUCCUGCCUGGUUCCUCCCCGGCGUUGGCCUUCACCGGUCGGCGUCGGUGGCCGGGCGAGUUUACUUUGAACAAAUCAGAGUGCUUCAAACAGGCGUUUCGCUUGAAUGUUCGUGCAUGGAAUAAUAGAAGAGGAUUUCGGUCCGAUUUUAUUGGUUUUGCUGACCGAGAUAAUGGUUAACAGAGACAAACGGGGCCAUUCGUAUUGCUGCGUGAGAGGUGAAAUUCUUGGACCGUAGCAUAGACGGACUACAACGAAAGCAUUUGGCAAGAAUGUCUUCAUUAAUCUAGAA
RNAcentral lists this ribosomal RNA (842 nucleotides) under Nematoda environmental sample. RNAcentral's name for it is "SSU rRNA". It matches the Rfam family "Eukaryotic small subunit ribosomal RNA", at positions 154 to 983 of the family's 1831-position model. Lineage: Eukaryota; Metazoa; Nematoda. The record is from RNAcentral.